Molecule: ribosomal RNA, 321 nt
Filed under: Acaulospora cavernata
Lineage: Eukaryota; Fungi; Glomeromycota; Glomeromycetes; Diversisporales; Acaulosporaceae
Source: RNAcentral
CAGACAUGCUCCGUGCGUUCAGCCGAAAGGUGUACUCGUACGGUUGCAGGCUAGUGUCUGUUCUUGGGGUCGGAUAAGGGUCUUGGGAAUGUGGCCAGUUCGCCGGUUGAAAGGGAAACGAUUGAAGUCAGUCAUGCUCGUGAGGAAUCAACUUGAUGGUGUGUGGGUUCUCUCGCAUACUUUCCGGUGCACUUCCCUCGCUCGGCAGGUUAGCAUCAAUUUCGGUUAUCAUAAAAAUUGAGGAAUGUGGCUUCCUUCGGGAAGUGUUAUAGACCUCGAUCGAUGUGUGACCGGGAUUGAGGAUUGCAGCGGAUACCCUCG